This 78-nucleotide small RNA is filed under the name Flavobacterium sp. 9. RNAcentral describes it as "Flavo-1 RNA". It matches the Rfam family "Flavo-1 RNA". Lineage: Bacteria; Pseudomonadati; Bacteroidota; Flavobacteriia; Flavobacteriales; Flavobacteriaceae. The record is from RNAcentral.
GCAUAGCCCCGAUUGAAACGACAUCCUUUUCAUCCGCCUCAAGCGGAUGAAAAGAUAUAGUGGAAAGCGGGACAAGAC